UACGUAGGGAGCAAGCGUUGUCCGGAAUCAUUGGGCGUAAAGCGCGCGUAGGCGGCCCUGUAAGUCCGUUGUGAAAGUCAAAGGCUCAACCUUUGAAAGCCGAUGGAUACUGCAGGGCUAGAGUCCGGAAGAGGCGAGUGGAAUUCCUGGUGUAGCGGUGGAAUGCGCAGAUAUCAGGAGGAACACCGAUGGCGAAGGCAGCUCGCUGGGACGGUACUGACGCUGAGGCGCGAAAGCGUGGGGAGCGAACAGG
RNAcentral lists this ribosomal RNA (253 nucleotides) under uncultured bacterium. RNAcentral's name for it is "partial 16S ribosomal RNA". It matches the Rfam family "Bacterial small subunit ribosomal RNA", at positions 524 to 776 of the family's 1533-position model. The record is from RNAcentral.